This 809-nucleotide ribosomal RNA is filed under the name uncultured bacterium. RNAcentral's name for it is "bacterial SSU rRNA". It matches the Rfam family "Bacterial small subunit ribosomal RNA", at positions 8 to 796 of the family's 1533-position model. The record is from RNAcentral.
AGAGUUUGAUCCUGGCUCAGAAUCAACGCUGGCGGCGUGCCUCAGACAUGCAAGUCGAACGCGAAAGUCUCCUUCGGGGGAUAAGUAGAGUGGCGCACGGGUGAGUAACACGUAGGUAAUCUACCUUCGGGUGGGGAAUAACCCAGGGAAACUUGGGCUAACACCGCAUAAUGCAGCGGCACCACAUGGUGACAGUUGUUAAAGCGGGGGAUCUUAGGACCUCGCGCCUGAAGAGGAGCCUGCGGCGGAUUAGCUAGUUGGUGAGGUAACGGCUCACCAAGGUGACGAUCCGUAGCCGGCCUGAGAGGGCGGUCGGCCACACUGACACUGACAUACGGGUCAGACUCCUACGGGAGGCAGCAGUCGGGAAUUUUGGGCAAUGGGCGAAAGCCUGACCCAGCAACGCCGCGUGAAGGAUGAAAUCCCUCGGGAUGUAAACUUCGCAAGAAUGGGAAGAAUUAGUAGGGGUCAAUACCCCCUAUGAUGACGGUACCAUUUGUAAGCUCCGGCUAACUCCGUGCCAGCAGCCGCGGUAAUACGGGGGGAGCAAGCGUUGUUCGGAUUUACUGGGCGUAAAGGGCGCGUAGGCGGUCAGCACAAGUCAGUUGUGAAAUCUCCGGGCUUAACUCGGAAAGGUCAACUGAUACUGUGCGACUAGAGUGCGGAAGGGGCAACUGGAAUUCUCGGUGUAGCGGUGAAAUGCGUAGAUAUCGAGAGGAACACCUGCGGCGAAGGCGGGUUGCUGGGCCGACACUGAGCUGAUGCGCGAAAGCCAGGGGAGCGAACGGGAUUAGAUACCCUAGUAGUCC